GGGGCUGUGAGUCAGAGGAAGAGCCUCUGCUUUGCAUGCAUAAGGUCAUAGGUUCAAUUCCUGGCAGCAUCU
RNAcentral lists this transfer RNA (72 nucleotides) under Sphaerodactylus townsendi. RNAcentral's name for it is "tRNA-Ala". The record is from RNAcentral. Lineage: Eukaryota; Metazoa; Chordata; Lepidosauria; Squamata; Sphaerodactylidae.